CACGUAGGGGGCAAGCGUUGUCCGGAAUUAUUGGGCGUAAAGAGCUCGUAGGCGGCUCGGUAAGUCAGGUGUCAAAUCCUCAGGCUCAACCUGGGGCUCCACCUGAUACUGCUGUGGCUAGAGUCCGGUAGGGGAGCGUGGAAUUCCUGGUGUAGCGGUGAAAUGCGCAGAUAUCAGGAGGAACACCGGUGGUGUAGACGGCUUGCUAGACCACCCCUGACGCUGAGGCACGAAAGCGUGGGUAGCAAACAGG
This 253-nucleotide ribosomal RNA is filed under the name uncultured bacterium. RNAcentral describes it as "partial 16S ribosomal RNA". It matches the Rfam family "Bacterial small subunit ribosomal RNA", at positions 524 to 776 of the family's 1533-position model. The record is from RNAcentral.